GACGAACGCUGGCGGCGUGCCUAAUACAUGCAAGUCGAGCGCAGGAAGUCAUCCGAACCCUUCGGGGGGACGUUGACGGAAUGAGCGGCGGACGGGUGAGUAACACGUAAAGAACCUGCCCUCAGGCCUGGGAUAACCACGAGAAAUCGGGGCUAAUACCGGAUGGGUCAUCGGACCGCAUGGUCCGAGGAUGAAAGGCGCUCCGGCGUCGCCUGGGGAUGGCUUUGCGGUGCAUUAGCUAGUUGGUGGGGUAAUGGCCCACCAAGGCGACGAUGCAUAGCCGACCUGAGAGGGUGAUCGGCCACACUGGGACUGAGACACGGCCCAGACUCCUACGGGAGGCAGCAGUAGGGAAUCUUCCACAAUGGACGAAAGUCUGAUGGAGCAACGCCGCGUGAACGAUGAAGGCCCUCGGGUCGUAAAGUUCUGUUGUAAGGGAAGAACAAGUGCCGCAGGCAAUGGCGGCACCUUGACGGUACCUUGCGAGAAAGCCACGGCUAACUACGUG
This 508-nucleotide ribosomal RNA is filed under the name uncultured bacterium. RNAcentral's name for it is "partial 16S ribosomal RNA". It matches the Rfam family "Bacterial small subunit ribosomal RNA", at positions 28 to 507 of the family's 1533-position model. The record is from RNAcentral.